GCGCGAGUGGCGUAAUUGGUAGCCGCGUUAGUCUUAGGAACUAAUGGAGCAAUCCGUGGAGGUUCAAGUCCUCUCUCGCGCACAA
This 85-nucleotide transfer RNA is filed under the name Candidatus Kaiserbacteria bacterium RIFOXYD1_FULL_42_15. RNAcentral's name for it is "tRNA-Leu". It matches the Rfam family "tRNA". Rfam says of the family: Transfer RNA (tRNA) molecules are approximately 80 nucleotides in length. Their secondary structure includes four short double-helical elements and three loops (D, anti-codon, and T loops). The record is from RNAcentral. RNAcentral also lists the same sequence under 1 other name. Lineage: Bacteria; Candidatus Kaiseribacteriota.